This 245-nucleotide ribosomal RNA is filed under the name uncultured bacterium. Its description in RNAcentral is "partial 16S ribosomal RNA". It matches the Rfam family "Bacterial small subunit ribosomal RNA", at positions 524 to 768 of the family's 1533-position model. The record is from RNAcentral.
UACGGAGGGUGCAAGCGUUACUCGGAAUUACUGGGCGUAAAGAGUGUGUAGGCGGUUUUGUAAGUUGGGUGUGAAAUCCCUGGGCUCAACCCAGGAAUUGCGCUCAAGACUGCAAGACUUGAGUACGAGAGAGGGGAGUAGAAUUCCCGGUGUAGAGGUGAAAUUCGUAGAUAUCGGGAGGAAUACCGGUGGCGAAGGCGGCUCCCUGGAUCGAUACUGACGCUGAGACACGAAAGCAUGGGGAG